GAGCUUGUAGCACUAAUCAAUGUCAUGUCCAUAUUUCUUACAGUACUUGCAGACAAUAGUAGACCUAUGAGGCUCAAAAGAUCCUUAAAGGUAGCACCAGACCUUUGAGGUUCAAAAUUUAUUUUGGGAGAGGGAGGAGGACUGGAUACACCAGAAUUGAAAGAAGCAGAAUUGGAGGCAAAUUGAGUUCCAGCAGAAAUUUAUUUUUGCUUCUCAUCAGAUAGCAAAAUCUUAUACACUGAUACUAUGCAAACUUGACAUAUUUCUCA
Molecule: long non-coding RNA, 269 nt
Filed under: Nicotiana benthamiana
Lineage: Eukaryota; Viridiplantae; Streptophyta; Magnoliopsida; Solanales; Solanaceae
Description: long non-coding RNA (NBEN_LNC004222)
Source: RNAcentral